This is a long non-coding RNA of Lycium barbarum (goji berry), 635 nucleotides long. RefSeq lists it as uncharacterized. The transcript is spliced from 2 exons. NCBI's taxonomy places the organism in Eukaryota, Viridiplantae, Streptophyta, Magnoliopsida, Solanales, Solanaceae. The record is from RefSeq and is a predicted model, not a curated record.
GCUCCCUCCACCUUUCCUUGUCCUCCCCUUUCUCCCUUCACUCUCACGCUCCCUCCACCUUUCCUUGUCCUCUGCUCCUUCCACUCACCAUCUGCUCCCACACGCUCCCUACCUCAUUUCCUAAACCCGAAUCUAAACCUUAUAAAGAGGUUGGUCUUGAAGGUUUUCGGGGGGACGACAUUCAACAUUUUUUUAUCUUUAAUCACUACUCUAAAUCUGGAAUUCGUUCGAACUCUGUUCUAUUUCAAUUCUUUGGCAGCCACUUUAAACGUUCCUAAUUAUUUUUUUACAUAUUUCAAUCGCUAUACUUGGGAACACCCAUUUGAAAAUUAAGUCGUGUUGCUCUUUCGGCUCGUUACUUUAAGAUCGAGCGUAGAUUCGACGCCGACGACCCCAUUCACUGCACCAUAAAAAGGUAUGGAUUUGCAUUGGAGUACAAUGAAUGACGAAGAUCAAUGACAUCACAAAAACGGAGCUGAGAUUUAGACAUAGGAAAUUGUGUUCACUUCAUUUAGAUUAGGAAACACUUUAUGUUGUAUUCAUUUGACAUGUAAUAAACGUUACAUUACUUUUGUACUUUAUUGUUGGGGAAAUAGAAUUUGUUUAAUUAAUCAAAGCAACGGGAUGACAUAUUA